CCUACGGGUGGCUGCAGUGAGGAAUAUUGGUCAAUGGUCGGGAGACUGAACCAGCCAAGCCGCGUGAGGGAUGAAGGUACAGAGUAUCGUAAACCUCUUUUGUCAGGGAACAAAGGCGGGGACGUGUCCCCGGAUGAGUGUACCUGAAGAAAAAGCAUCGGCUAACUCCGUGCCAGCAGCCGCGGUAAUACGGAGGAUGCGAGCGUUAUCCGGAUUUAUUGGGUUUAAAGGGUGCGCAGGCGGUCUGUUAAGUCAGCGGUCAAAGCCCGGGGCUCAACCCCGUCGUGCCGUUGAAACUGAUGGUCUUGAGUGGGCGAGAAGUAUGCGGAAUGCGUGGUGUAGCGGUGAAAUGCAUAGAUAUCACGCAGAACUCCGAUUGCGAAGGCAGCAUACCGGCGCCCAACUGACGCUGAAGCACGAAAGCGUGGGUAUCGAACAGGAUUAGAUACCCCGGUAGUC
RNAcentral lists this ribosomal RNA (459 nucleotides) under uncultured bacterium. Its description in RNAcentral is "partial 16S ribosomal RNA". It matches the Rfam family "Bacterial small subunit ribosomal RNA", at positions 338 to 795 of the family's 1533-position model. The record is from RNAcentral.